RNAcentral lists this ribosomal RNA (492 nucleotides) under uncultured bacterium. RNAcentral describes it as "partial 16S ribosomal RNA". It matches the Rfam family "Bacterial small subunit ribosomal RNA", at positions 29 to 507 of the family's 1533-position model. The record is from RNAcentral.
AGUGAACGCUGGCGGUAGGCCUAACACAUGCAAGUCGAACGGCAGCACAGUAAGAGCUUGCUCUUACGGGUGGCGAGUGGCGGACGGGUGAGGAAUACAUCGGAAUCUACUUUUUCGUGGGGGAUAACGUAGGGAAACUUACGCUAAUACCGCAUACGACCUACGGGUGAAAGCAGGGGAUCUUCGGACCUUGCGCGAUUGAAUGAGCCGAUGUCGGAUUAGCUAGUUGGCGGGGUAAAGGCCCACCAAGGCGACGAUCCGUAGCUGGUCUGAGAGGAUGAUCAGCCAAACUGGAACUGAGACACGGGCCAGAAUCCCAAGGGAGGCAGAAGUGGGGAAUAUUGGACAAUGGGCGGAAGCCUGAUCCAGCCAUACCGCGUGGGUGAAGAAGGCCUUCGGGUUGGAAAGCCCUUUUGUUGGGAAAGAAAAGCAGCAGGGUAAUAACCCGCUGUUUUGAAGGUACCCAAAGAAUAAGCACCGGCUAACUUCGUG